Molecule: ribosomal RNA, 465 nt
Filed under: Vreelandella stevensii
Lineage: Bacteria; Pseudomonadati; Pseudomonadota; Gammaproteobacteria; Oceanospirillales; Halomonadaceae
Description: partial 16S ribosomal RNA
Rfam family: Bacterial small subunit ribosomal RNA
Source: RNAcentral
CCUACGGGUGGCUGCAGUGGGGAAUAUUGGACAAUGGGCGAAAGCCUGAUCCAGCCAUGCCGCGUGUGUGAAGAAGGCCUUCGGGUUGUAAAGCACUUUCAGUGGGGAAGAAAGCCUUGGGGCUAAUACCCUCGAGGAAGGACAUCACCCACAGAAGAAGCACCGGCUAACUCCGUGCCAGCAGCCGCGGUAAUACGGAGGGUGCGAGCGUUAAUCGGAAUUACUGGGCGUAAAGCGCGCGUAGGCGGUCUGAUAAGCCGGUUGUGAAAGCCCCGGGCUCAACCUGGGAACGGCAUCCGGAACUAUCAGGCUAGAGUGCAGGAGAGGAAGGUAGAAUUCCCGGUGUAGCGGUGAAAUGCGUAGAGAUCGGGAGGAAUACCAGUGGCGAAGGCGGCCUUCUGGACUGACACUGACGCUGAGGUGCGAAAGCGUGGGUAGCAAACAGGAUUAGAUACCCGGGUAGUC